UGGGGAAUAUUGGACAAUGGGCGAAAGCCUGAUCCAGCCAUGCCGCGUGUGUGAAGAAGGUCUUCGGAUUGUAAAGCACUUUAAGUUGGGAGGAAGGGCAGUAAGCGAAUACCUUGCUGUUUUGACGUUACCGACAGAAUAAGCACCGGCUAACUCUGUGCCAGCAGCCGCGGUAAUACAGAGGGUGCAAGCGUUAAUCGGAAUUACUGGGCGUAAAGCGCGCGUAGGUGGUUCGUUAAGUUGAAUGUGAAAGCCCCGGGCUCAACCUGGGAACUGCAUCCAAAACUGGCGAGCUAGAGUAGGGCAGAGGGUGGUGGAAGUUCCUGUGUAGCGGUGAAAUGCGUAGAUAUAGGAAGGAACACCAGUGGCGAAGGCGACCACCUGGGCUCAUACUGACACUGAGGUGCGAAAGCGUGGGGAGCAAACAGG
RNAcentral lists this ribosomal RNA (429 nucleotides) under Pseudomonadota bacterium. RNAcentral's name for it is "Proteobacteria bacterium partial 16S ribosomal RNA". It matches the Rfam family "Bacterial small subunit ribosomal RNA", at positions 355 to 776 of the family's 1533-position model. The record is from RNAcentral. Lineage: Bacteria; Pseudomonadati; Pseudomonadota.